GUGCCAGCAGCCGCGGUAAUACGUAGGCAGCAAGCGUUGUUCGGAGUUACUGGGCGUAAAGGGUGUGUAGGCGGUCCUCUAAGUUUGGUGUGAAAUCUCCCGGCUCAACUGGGAGGGUGCGCCGAAUACUGAAGGACUAGAGUGCGGGAGAGGAGAGUGGAAUUCCUGGUGUAGCGGUGAAAUGCGUAGAUAUCAGGAGGAACACCGGUGGUGUAGACGGCUCUCUGGACCGUAACUGACGCUGAGACACGAAAGCGUGGGUAGCAAACAGGAUUAGAUACCCCGGUAGUCC
Molecule: ribosomal RNA, 292 nt
Filed under: uncultured bacterium
Lineage: Bacteria
Description: partial 16S ribosomal RNA
Rfam family: Bacterial small subunit ribosomal RNA
Source: RNAcentral